AAAUGACUCUCGACAACGGAUAUCUCGGCUCUCGCAUCGAUGAAGAACGUAGCGAAAUGCGAUACUUGGUGUGAAUUGCAGAAUCCCGUGAACCAUCGAGUUUUUGAACGCAAGUUGCGCCUAAGGCCAUUGGCCAAGGGCACACCUGCUUGGGUGUCACGU
This 162-nucleotide ribosomal RNA is filed under the name Neogoezia gracilipes. RNAcentral's name for it is "5.8S ribosomal RNA". It matches the Rfam family "5.8S ribosomal RNA". Rfam says of the family: 5.8S ribosomal RNA (5.8S rRNA) is a component of the large subunit of the eukaryotic ribosome. It is transcribed by RNA polymerase I as part of the 45S precursor that also contains 18S and 28S rRNA. Lineage: Eukaryota; Viridiplantae; Streptophyta; Magnoliopsida; Apiales; Apiaceae. The record is from RNAcentral.